UCCAAGCAGUGCCAAAGUGCUCAUAGUGCAGGUAGUUUGUGAAAAUUCUCUACUGUAAUAUGGGCACUUAUUGUUCUGCGUGGG
Molecule: non-coding RNA, 84 nt
Organism: Pelobates cultripes (western spadefoot toad)
Lineage: Eukaryota; Metazoa; Chordata; Amphibia; Anura; Pelobatidae
Source: the annotation of a GenBank genome assembly